This 450-nucleotide long non-coding RNA is filed under the name Cricetulus griseus (Chinese hamster). RNAcentral's name for it is "lncRNA (ENSCGRG00015000966.2)". The record is from RNAcentral. Lineage: Eukaryota; Metazoa; Chordata; Mammalia; Rodentia; Cricetidae.
GGAAAGUGUAAAAGGUGACUUGAAAAAUCACAGUAGGAAAACUCGCUUCUGUAAGCAGGAAGGCUCAGGAUGGUGAGUGAUCUUCAAAGGCAAGGACUGGGAAAAUGAACAGAUAUCAAGAUCCCAGAAGUAGCUGAUGCAAAAAUCACAUCUCCCAACCAAAGAAGACAAGAGACUCUCUACAUCAAUGGAUGACUGCCAUCAAGCACCCUGAGCUCCUCUUUGACCAGAACAGCAAAAUAAAGCAGGCUAAAGUCAUCACAUAAAUGCUACAUUGCAGAAGUUACGUUUCUUUUGUUAAAAGGAGUGAAUUAAUGAAGAAAGAAUGAGUCUACAAGUAAACUCUCAGCAUACAGCAAACUGACCCCCACCAAGCUGUGAACACUCAAAGAUUCAUGUAGCCAAGAAAGUUUCUGCAAUCCAUCACAGAAAUAUGCACUUUAAAAGGAC